This 801-nucleotide ribosomal RNA is filed under the name Bacillota bacterium. RNAcentral's name for it is "bacterial SSU rRNA". It matches the Rfam family "Bacterial small subunit ribosomal RNA", at positions 80 to 911 of the family's 1533-position model. The record is from RNAcentral. Lineage: Bacteria; Bacillati; Bacillota.
UGCUCCCUGAGAUUAGCGGCGGACGGGUGAGUAACACGUGGGCAACCUGCCUAUAAGACUGGGAUAACUUCGGGAAACCGGAGCUAAUACCGGAUACGUUCUUUUCUCGCAUGAGAGAAGAUGGAAAGACGGUUUCACGCUGUCACUUAUAGAUGGCCCCGCGGCCCAUUAUCUAGUUGGUGAGGUAAUGGCUCACCAAGGCCACAAUGCGUAGCCCACCUGAGAGGGUGAUCGCCCACUCUGGGACUGACACACGGCCCACACUCCUACGGGAGGCAGCAGUAGGGAAUCUUCCGCAAUGGACGAAAGUCUCAGGGAGCAACGCCGCGUGAACAAAAAGGGCCUUCGGGUCGUAAAGUUCUGUUGUUAGGGAAAAACAAGUCCCAGAGUACCUGGGGGUCCCUUGACGGUCCCUAACCAGAAAGCCACGGCUAACUACGUGCCAGCACCCGCGGAAAUACGUAGGUGGCAAGCGUUGUCCGAAAUUAUUGGGCGUAAAGCGCGCGCAGGUGUUCCUUAAGUCUGAUGUGAAACCCCCGGCUCACCCGUGGAGGGUCUUUGAAACUGGGAACUUGAGUGCAAAAGGGAAUGUGAAUUCAAGUGUCCGGUAAAUGCUAGAUUUGGAGGAACCCAGUGGAAAGGAAUUUUUGGUCUGAACUGACACUAAGGCCAAAGCGUGGGGAGCAACGGUUAGACCCUGGUACCCCCCCAUAACAAUGAGGCUAGUUUAGAGGUUCCCCCUUUAGUGUGCACUAACAUUAAGCUCCCCCUGGGAUACGCCCCAGGUUAAACUCAGGGAUU